RNAcentral lists this ribosomal RNA (253 nucleotides) under uncultured bacterium. Its description in RNAcentral is "partial 16S ribosomal RNA". It matches the Rfam family "Bacterial small subunit ribosomal RNA", at positions 524 to 776 of the family's 1533-position model. The record is from RNAcentral.
UACAGAGGGGGCAAGCGUUGUUCGGAAUUACUGGGCGUAAAGGGCGCGUAGGCGGCCCGCUAAGUCGAACGUGAAAUCUCCCGGCUCAACUGGGAGGGUGCGCCGGAUACUGAGGGGCUAGAGUGUGGGAGAGGAAAGUGGAAUUCCUGGUGUAGCGGUGAAAUGCGUAGAUAUCAGGAGGAACACCGGUGGUGUAAACGGCUUUCUGGACCAUAACUGACGCUGAGGCACGAAAGCGUGGGUAGCAAACAGG